Molecule: ribosomal RNA, 468 nt
Filed under: uncultured bacterium
Lineage: Bacteria
Description: partial 16S ribosomal RNA
Rfam family: Bacterial small subunit ribosomal RNA
Source: RNAcentral
GACGAACGCUGGCGGCGUGCUUAACACAUGCAAGUCGAACGGAAAGGCCCUGCUUUUGUGGGGUGCUCGAGUGGCGAACGGGUGAGUAACACGUGAGUAACCUGCCCUUGACUUUGGGAUAACUUCAGGAAACUGGGGCUAAUACCGGAUAGGAGCUCCUGCUGCAUGGUGGGGGUUGGAAAGUUUCGGCGGUUGGGGAUGGACUCGCGGCUUAUCAGCUUGUUGGUGGGGUAGUGGCUUACCAAGGCUUUGACGGGUAGCCGGCCUGGGAGGGUGACCGGCCACAUGGGGACUGAGAUACGGCCCAGACUCCUACGGGAGGCAGCAGUGGGGAAUAUUGCACAAUGGGCGGAAGCCUGAUGCAGCAACGCCGCGUGCGUGAUGACGGCCUUCGGGUUGUAAACCGCUUUCGCCUGUGACGAAGCGUGAGUGACGGUAAUGGGUAAAGAAGCACCGGCUAACUACGUG